Molecule: long non-coding RNA, 572 nt
Filed under: Sinocyclocheilus anshuiensis
Lineage: Eukaryota; Metazoa; Chordata; Actinopteri; Cypriniformes; Cyprinidae
Description: lncRNA (ENSSANG00000044296.1)
Source: RNAcentral
UGCAGGCCAGCCGGGGCUCCCAGGACAGACGGGAUCUGAGGGCCCCAGGGGUCAGCCGGGCCCUCCGGGGCCUCCGGGAAAAGGCUUCAGUUUUGACAUGAUGGAUUUGGAGGGGUCGGGUCUGGAUGGAAGCAGUGGUUUCAGACCUGUUCUGCCCAGAGGACCACCUGUACGUACAUUCACAUUUACUGAGGCUUUUCUGGCUCUUACAGCUGAACUGCAGCUCAUUCUCGUGCAUAUUCUCAUCCUCAGGGUCUUCCUGGGCUCCCAGGACCUCCAGGGCCACAGGGGAAAGAAGGAGCCGUCGGCCCUCCGGGUGUUUCAGUGAAGGUCUGUGCUCCUCACGCAAUCACAUACACAAAAACAUGCACACACACACUUCCACAACUGUUUCCAUUCCCGCUUUCCAAAGGAAGCACGCCAUUCUCAUCCACGUGUUCCCCAUUAGCCACAAAGUUCCUAUCUUCAGCACAUCUGUUAGGGUCAGUGAAUGCGCCUCAGGCUUUGAACUCCUUCAUAGUGUAAUUCAAAGUAAAAAUGCAUUGUAAUGGCUUUAUAUUACAUAACACACA